GGGUUGUGAGGUUAAGCGACUAAGCGUACACGGUGGAUGCCCUGGCAGUCAGAGGCGAUGAAGGGCGUGCUAAUCUGCGAUAAGCGCCGGUAAGGUGAUAUGAACCGUUAUAACCGGCGAUACCCGAAUGGGGAAACCCAGUGUGAUUCGUCACACUAUCAUUAACUGAAUCCAUAGGUUAAUGAGGCGAACCGGGGGAACUGAAACAUCUAAGUACCCCGAGGAAAAGAAAUCAACCGAGAUUCCCCCAGUAGCGGCGAGCGAACGGGGAGGAGCCCAGAGCCUGAAUCAGCAUGUGUGUUAGUGGAAGCGUCUGGAAAGGCGCGCGAUACAGGGUGACAGCCCCGUACACAAAAGCGCAUGUGCUGUGAGCUCGAUGAGUAGGGCGGGACACGUGGUAUCCUGUCUGAAUAUGGGGGGACCAUCCUCCAAGGCUAAAUACUCCUGACUGACCGAUAGUGAACCAGUACCGUGAGGGAAAGGCGAAAAGAACCCCGGCGAGGGGAGUGAAAAAGAACCUGAAACCGUGUACGUACAAGCAGUGGGAGCACAGGUUUACCUGUGUGACUGCGUACCUUUUGUAUAAUGGGUCAGCGACUUAUAUUCUGUAGCAAGGUUAACCGAAUAGGGGAGCCGGAGGGAAACCGAGUCUUAACCGGGCGUUAAGUUGCAGGGUAUAGACCCGAAACCCGGUGAUCUAGCCAUGGGCAGGUUGAAGGUUGGGUAACACUAACUGGAGGACCGAACCGACUAAUGUUGAAAAAUUAGCGGAUGACCUGUGGCUGGGGGUGAAAGGCCAAUCAAACCGGGAGAUAGCUGGUUCUCCCCGAAAGCUAUUUAGGUAGCGCCUCGUGAAUUCAUCUCCGGGGGUAGAGCACUGUUUCGGCUAGGGGGCCAUCCCGGCUUACCAACCCGAUGCAAACUGCGAAUACCGGAGAAUGUUAUCACGGGAGACACACGGCGGGUGCUAACGUCCGUCGUGAAGAGGGAAACAACCCAGACCGCCAGCUAAGGUCCCAAAGUCAUGGUUAAGUGGGAAACGAUGUGGGAAGGCCCAGACAGCCAGGAUGUUGGCUUAGAAGCAGCCAUCAUUUAAAGAAAGCGUAAUAGCUCACUGGUCGAGUCGGCCUGCGCGGAAGAUGUAACGGGGCUAAACCAUGCACCGAAGCUGCGGCAGCGUCCGUUGGGUAGGGGAGCGUUCUGUAAGCCUGCGAAGGUGGCCUGUGAGGGUUGCUGGAGGUAUCAGAAGUGCGAAUGCUGACAUAAGUAACGAUAAAGCGGGUGAAAAGCCCGCUCGCCGGAAGACCAAGGGUUCCUGUCCAACGUUAAUCGGGGCAGGGUGAGUCGACCCCUAAGGCGAGGCCGAAAGGCGUAGUCGAUGGGAAACGGGUUAAUAUUCCCGUACUUGGUGUUACUGCGAAGGGGGGACGGAGAAGGCUAUGUUGGCCGGGCGACGGUUGUCCCGGUUUAAGCGUGUAGGUGUGUGUUCCAGGUAAAUCCGGUUCACUUUAACACUGAGGCGUGAUGACGAGGCACUACGGUGCUGAAGCAACAAAUGCCCUGCUUCCAGGAAAAGCCUCUAAGCAUCAGGUAACAUCAAAUCGUACCCCAAACCGACACAGGUGGUCAGGUAGAGAAUACCAAGGCGCUUGAGAGAACUCGGGUGAAGGAACUAGGCAAAAUGGUGCCGUAACUUCGGGAGAAGGCACGCUGACACGUAGGUGAAGUGAUUUACUCAUGGAGCUGAAGUCAGUCGAAGAUACCAGCUGGCUGCAACUGUUUAUUAAAAACACAGCACUGUGCAAACACGAAAGUGGACGUAUACGGUGUGACGCCUGCCCGGUGCCGGAAGGUUAAUUGAUGGGGUCAGCGCAAGCGAAGCUCCUGAUCGAAGCCCCGGUAAACGGCGGCCGUAACUAUAACGGUCCUAAGGUAGCGAAAUUCCUUGUCGGGUAAGUUCCGACCUGCACGAAUGGCGUAAUGAUGGCCAGGCUGUCUCCACCCGAGACUCAGUGAAAUUGAACUCGCUGUGAAGAUGCAGUGUACCCGCGGCAAGACGGAAAGACCCCGUGAACCUUUACUAUAGCUUGACACUGAACAUUGAGCCUUGAUGUGUAGGAUAGGUGGGAGGCUUUGAAGUGUGGACGCCAGUCUGCAUGGAGCCGACCUUGAAAUACCACCCUUUAAUGUUUGAUGUUCUAACGUGGACCCGUAAUCCGGGUUGCGGACAGUGUCUGGUGGGUAGUUUGACUGGGGCGGUCUCCUCCUAAAGAGUAACGGAGGAGCACGAAGGUUGGCUAAUCCUGGUCGGACAUCAGGAGGUUAGUGCAAUGGCAUAAGCCAGCUUGACUGCGAGCGUGACGGCGCGAGCAGGUGCGAAAGCAGGUCAUAGUGAUCCGGUGGUUCUGAAUGGAAGGGCCAUCGCUCAACGGAUAAAAGGUACUCCGGGGAUAACAGGCUGAUACCGCCCAAGAGUUCAUAUCGACGGCGGUGUUUGGCACCUCGAUGUCGGCUCAUCACAUCCUGGGGCUGAAGUAGGUCCCAAGGGUAUGGCUGUUCGCCAUUUAAAGUGGUACGCGAGCUGGGUUUAGAACGUCGUGAGACAGUUCGGUCCCUAUCUGCCGUGGGCGCUGGAGAACUGAGGGGGGCUGCUCCUAGUACGAGAGGACCGGAGUGGACGCAUCACUGGUGUUCGGGUUGUCAUGCCAAUGGCACUGCCCGGUAGCUAAAUGCGGAAGAGAUAAGUGCUGAAAGCAUCUAAGCACGAAACUUGCCCCGAGAUGAGUUCUCCCUGAGACUUAAAGUCUCCUGAAGGAACGUUGAAGACGACGACGUUGAUAGGCCGGGUGUGUAAGCGCAGCGAUGCGUUGAGCUAACCGGUACUAAUGAACCGUGAGGCUUAACCUUACAACGCCGAAG
Molecule: ribosomal RNA, 2919 nt
Filed under: Salmonella enterica subsp. enterica
Lineage: Bacteria; Pseudomonadati; Pseudomonadota; Gammaproteobacteria; Enterobacterales; Enterobacteriaceae
Description: bacterial LSU rRNA
Rfam family: Bacterial large subunit ribosomal RNA
Source: RNAcentral